This 253-nucleotide ribosomal RNA is filed under the name uncultured bacterium. Its description in RNAcentral is "partial 16S ribosomal RNA". It matches the Rfam family "Bacterial small subunit ribosomal RNA", at positions 524 to 776 of the family's 1533-position model. The record is from RNAcentral.
UACGUAGGGGGCAAGCGUUGUCCGGAAUCAUUGGGCGUAAAGAGCGCGCAGGCGGUCGUUCAAGUCGAGUGUGAAAGCCCCCGGCUCAACUGGGGAGGGUCACUCGAUACUGAUCGACUCGAAGGCAGGAGAGGGAAGUGGAAUUCCCGGUGUAGUGGUGAAAUGCGUAGAUAUCGGGAGGAACACCAGUGGCGAAGGCGACUUCCUGGCCUGUUCUUGACGCUGAGGCACGAAAGCUAGGGGAGCAAACGGG